This 553-nucleotide ribosomal RNA is filed under the name Meyerozyma caribbica. RNAcentral's name for it is "eukaryotic LSU rRNA". It matches the Rfam family "Eukaryotic large subunit ribosomal RNA", at positions 46 to 605 of the family's 3401-position model. The record is from RNAcentral. Lineage: Eukaryota; Fungi; Ascomycota; Pichiomycetes; Serinales; Debaryomycetaceae.
AUAAGCGGAGGAAAAGAAACCAACAGGGAUUGCCUUAGUAGCGGCGAGUGAAGCGGCAAAAGCUCAAAUUUGAAAUCUGGCGCCUUCGGUGUCCGAGUUGUAAUUUGAAGAUUGUAACCUUGGGGUUGGCUCUGUCUAUGUUUCUUGGAACAGGACGUCACAGAGGGUGAGAAUCCCGUGCGAUGAGAUGCCCAAUUCUAUGUAAGGUGCUUUCGAAGAGUCGAGUUGUUUGGGAAUGCAGCUCUAAGUGGGUGGUAAAUUCCAUCUAAAGCUAAAUAUUGGCGAGAGACCGAUAGCGAACAAGUACAGUGAUGGAAAGAUGAAAAGAACUUUGAAAAGAGAGUGAAAAAGUACGUGAAAUUGUUGAAAGGGAAGGGUUUGAGAUCAGACUCGAUAUUUUGUGAGCCUUGCCUUCGUGGCGGGGUGACCCGCAGCUUAUCGGGCCAGCAUCGGUUUGGGCGGUAGGAUAAUGGCGUAGGAAUGUGACUUUACUUCGGUGAAGUGUUAUAGCCUGCGUUGAUGCUGCCUGCCUAGACCGAGGACUGCGAUUUAU